UUCCUACGGGAGGCAGCAGUGGGGAAUAUUGCACAAUGGGCGCAAGCCUGAUGCAGCGACGCCGCGUGAGGGAUGACGGCCUUCGGGUUGUAAACCUCUUUCAGUACCGACGAAGCGCAAGUGACGGUAGGUACAGAAGAAGCACCGGCCAACUACGUGCCAGCAGCCGCGGUAAUACGUAGGGUGCGAGCGUUGUCCGGAAUUACUGGGCGUAAAGAGCUCGUAGGCGGUUUGUCGCGUCGUCUGUGAAAACCCGCAGCUCAACUGCGGGCUUGCAGGCGAUACGGGCAGACUUGAGUACUGCAGGGGAGACUGGAAUUCCUGGUGUAGCGGUGAAAUGCGCAGAUAUCAGGAGGAACACCGGUGGCGAAGGCGGGUCUCUGGGCAGUAACUGACGCUGAGGAGCGAAAGCGUGGGUAGCGAACAGGAUUAGAUACCCGAGUAGUC
Molecule: ribosomal RNA, 447 nt
Filed under: uncultured bacterium
Lineage: Bacteria
Description: bacterial SSU rRNA
Rfam family: Bacterial small subunit ribosomal RNA
Source: RNAcentral